GAUGAACGCUGGCGGCGUGCUUAACACAUGCAAGUCGAACGGUGAAGGCGGAGCUUGCUCUGCUGGAUCAGUGGCGAACGGGUGAGUAACACGUGAACAAUCUGCCCCUGACUCUGGGAUAAGCGCUGGAAACGGCGUCUAAUACUGGAUACGAGCUGCGAAGGCAUCUUCAGCAGCUGGAAAGAACUUCGGUCAGGGAUGAGCUCGCGGCCUAUCAGCUUGUUGGUGAGGUAACGGCUCACCAAGGCGUCGACGGGUAGCCGGCCUGAGAGGGUGACCGGCCACACUGGGACUGAGACACGGCCCAGACUCCUACGGGAGGCAGCAGUGGGGAAUAUUGCACAAUGGGCGAAAGCCUGAUGCAGCAACGCCGCGUGAGGGACGACGGCCUUCGGGUUGUAAACCUCUUUUAGCAGGGAAGAAGCGAAAGUGACGGUACCUGCAGAAAAAGCGCCGGCUAACUACGUG
Molecule: ribosomal RNA, 468 nt
Filed under: uncultured bacterium
Lineage: Bacteria
Description: partial 16S ribosomal RNA
Rfam family: Bacterial small subunit ribosomal RNA
Source: RNAcentral